CUCGUAGGCGGCCAACUAAGUCAGACGUGAAAUCCCUCGGCUUAACCGGGGAACUGCGUCUGAUACUGGAUGGCUUGAGAUUGGGAGAGGGAUGCGGAAUUCCAGGUGUAGCGGUGAAAUGCGUAGAUAUCCGGAGGAACACCGGUGGCGAAGGCGGCAUCCUGGACCAACACUGACGCUGAGGAGCGAAAGCCAGGGGAGCAAACG
This 207-nucleotide ribosomal RNA is filed under the name uncultured bacterium. RNAcentral describes it as "partial 16S ribosomal RNA". It matches the Rfam family "Bacterial small subunit ribosomal RNA", at positions 568 to 774 of the family's 1533-position model. The record is from RNAcentral.